Molecule: long non-coding RNA, 3306 nt
Organism: Corythoichthys intestinalis (scribbled pipefish)
Lineage: Eukaryota; Metazoa; Chordata; Actinopteri; Syngnathiformes; Syngnathidae
Exons: 3
Source: RefSeq, a predicted model, not a curated record
AAUGACAAAGGAAAAAUAGUCUUUUAAGACUCUAUAAAUUAUUUAUUCUGACAUUAUACAAUAUGCAUUCAUGUAAGUUAUUUACUUUACAAUAUUCACAUCAACAAAAUACUAUAUUAAACCAUUUCACAGUCUUGUGAAUUCUAAGCUUAUGUGCAAACAUGUUUUUAGGUUGACAUACUGCAGACCGACCAAACCACAAUUGGUUUAUGAUGAUAAUAACAUUACACUACAGUUGCUGCCAGUGCAAUAUAGCAAAAUGUUUAGUAUGCAAUCACUAUAGUAUAUUUUAAUACAACAUGAUACUUCAGAAUUUCUUGGUACCAAACUUUACAGCACGUGAGAAAUAUCACUGGAGUUGUGAUCUGUCCGUGUACCACGAGGAACCAUGUUGCCAUUUGAGUGACUUGAGGAACCACUCGACAAAAGAGGAGUGUCCUGUGUUGCAGAUAUUGGUGAAGUAUCUGGGCCGAUGACCACCACAUAACGGCUAUCUUCAUCGUCCUCCUCCAUGUUCCCGUGAAUGUCUGCAGUAACUAUUGAGUUUUCUGCCUCCUGGCGGCUGCAUGAUGGGGAGGAGCUAAGCACAGGAUGUUCUGACACCUCUCCAUCAGGACUGUCAUCCUGGAAGCUGGUGUUAAUGUAGAUGAUAUCCUCUUUGCUAAAAGACUCUGGGAACCUUUCGGCAAUUUUUUCCAGCAUUUCUCUCAGUUGGGAAAAAAGGGGUCGGUCCAAAGGAUCGGCCCUCCAGCAGCUGUACAUUAUCUCAUACCUAUAAACAAAAGACAGGUAACGGGUAACUUUUAUUUAAAAAAUCGCCACUGACCUCGAGUUUAAAAUUUGUGUAUUGAGCAGAAGUCACUCACAUGUCGUCCAAACAGUCCGUUGGCUGUUUCAGCCUAUGUCCUUCAAGAAGGUAGUCAUAAAUCUCGUGGUUCUGGAUACCAGGGUAUGGUGUCAUCCCUCGUGUAGCAAUCUCCCACAUGGUUACACCAAAUGCCCACUGCAAGUUGAAACAAAAUGUUCAUUUCAUGACUUCAGAAUUGACAGUGUUCCCUAUACACAAAGAUUUUCGGUCAUAAACAUUAAACAUGUUUAGCUUAAGAUCAUUUUGUUUUUUGCUGUUAGUGCAAAAACAAAUCUACGAGCACUGGAUAAUCUUUUAAAACAAGUCAUGCAUUUGUUGCCUUCAACCAGGGAGGGUCGAAAAUGGGAUAAAAACAGCCCAAUUAUGGUAUUUAGCCCUGUAAUUUAGAUUAUUGGUUGACCAUUAUUUGAUUCCAAAAGCCUUUCCUAGAUUUUCAUUAUUAUCUUCAUUAUUCAUAUAUUCAUUAUAUCUUCUAUGGACAGAUCAUCUGACAGGAUUAAAAGAAAGAAAAAACUAAAGCGCAAUAUCUUGGUGAUUACAUUAUCUACAAUUUUUCAGGUCCGGGACUUAGGGUCUGUCGGGCAGUCGAAUCUCGAAUUCAGGAGGAGCAGUGUGGUUUUAGUCCCGGCCGUGGAACAGUGGACCAGCUCUAUACCCUUGGUAGGGGCCUCGAGGGUGCAUGAGAGGUCGCCCAACCGGUUUACAUGUGUUUUGUGGAUUUGGAGAAGGCGUUCGACCGUGUCCCUCGGGGAGUCCUGUGGAAGGUGCUUCGGGAGUACGGGGUACCGAGCCCCUUGGUAAGGCCUGUUCAGUCCCUGUACGAACGGUGUCACAGUUUGGUCCGUAUUGCCGGCAGUAAGUUGAAUUUGUUGCCAGCGAGGGUUGGACUCCGCUAAUGUUGCCAUUUGUCACCGAUUCCGUUCAUAAUUUUUAGGAACAGAAUUUCUAGGCGCAGCCGAAGCGUUGAUGGGGUCCGGUUUGGUGGCCUUGCAUUGCAUUGCAUUGCAUAUAUGCUUUUUGCAGAUGAUGUGGUGCUGUUGACUUCAUCAAGCCGUGUCCUCAAACUCUCACUGGAACGGUUCGCAGCCGAGUGUGAAGCGGUUGGGGUGUAGAUCAGCACCUUCAAAUCCGAGACCAUGGUCCUCACUUGGAAAAGGGUUGCGUGUCCUCUCCCGGUCUGGGAUGAGAUCCUGCCCCAUGUGGAGGAGUUCAAGUUUCUUGGGGUCUUGUUCACGAGUGAGGGUAUGAGGGAGCAGGAGAUCGACAGGCAGAUCGGUGCAGCGUUUGCAGUAUUGUGGACUCUCCACCGGUCCGUAGUGGUGAAGAAGGAGCUGAGCCAAAAGGCGAAGCUCUCGAUUUACCAGUCGAUCUACAUUCCUACUCUCACCUACGGUCACGAGCUGUGGGUUGUGACAGAAAGAACAAGAAUCAAGCGGCCGAAAUGAGUUUUCUCUGCAGGGUGGCCGGGCUCUCCUUUAGAUACUCCUCUGCGUUGAGAGGAGCCAGUUGAGGUGGCUUGGACAUCUGGUUGAGAUGCCUCCUUGACGCCUCCCCGGAGAGGUGUUCCGGGCAUGUACCACCGGCGGGAGACCCCGGGGACGACCCAGGACACGUUGGAGAGACUAUGCCUCUCGGCUGGCCUGGGAACGCCUUGGGAUCCCACCAGAGGAGCUGGUUAAAGUGGCUGGGGAGAGAGAAGCCUGAGCUUCCCUGCUAAAGCUGCUGCCACCAUGACCCGAACCCGGAGUAAGCGGUUGGUAAUGGAUGAAUGAUGGAUGGACAAUUUCUUCGAGUAAGGACUUUCUUGAAAAGUACACUAUCUGGAGUGCUUACCACAUCACUUUUAACAGUAAAUACUCUGUCCGCCAGACUCUCAACAGCUAUCCAUUUAACAGGCAUUUUGGCGAUCCUGCCCUGUCUAUAAUAAUCUCCACUGUAGAUCUUCUUGGAUAAGCCAAAGUCAGCCACACACACUGUCAUGUCAUCUCGCAGCCUGAGAGGGGGGAAAACCAUGAUAGAACAACACACAUAAUUGCGAGCGGCCAGGUCACGAUGCAGAAAGUUCCGACCGCUGAGAUACUCCAUACCAGAGGCAAUGUCGACCAUGAACUUCAGGAGCGUCUGUGUUGGCGUGAGCGCAGCAGGAAGGUGUGUAGAUCUCCAUAUUUCAUAAAGGGCAGGAUGACCAUAGGCUUGGGGAAGUGUCCAGUGACCGUUUCCAGGCACACACCUAUCGAGAGCAGACAUUUCACAGACAAAGAAACAAUGAUCAGAAUUGUAACGGUACAGGUUUUUUUUUCCAAUCCACAAAAAGAUGUAACGUUCUAACCAAGCAGCUUGAUGACAUUGGGAUGGUGGAAAUCUUUCAUGCAGGCCGCUUCAUACAGGAACUCGUCUAUUUCUCUCUGAGAAAAGCUAUCCACUGUUUCAAAGAUGGU